Molecule: non-coding RNA, 297 nt
Organism: Pelobates cultripes (western spadefoot toad)
Lineage: Eukaryota; Metazoa; Chordata; Amphibia; Anura; Pelobatidae
Source: the annotation of a GenBank genome assembly
AUUACCUUACAGGGCAAUUCAUUUAAAUGUCAUGAGUCUAGAAUGAUGUCAGAGUUAUUCACUAAACUGAGAAUUCAAGGGGACGUUCACAUUUUUAUUUUUUUAUAAAUUCUUUAUUUUAUUGGUUUUUGGUUUUUGUAUAGUGUGGGAAAGGGUUUACAGAAAGAAGAAAUUGGGAUGAAGCAUUAGUUUUACAUAUAACAUUUUGUAACAGUUUUAACAAUUCAGGUAUUGAUAUUUUCGUUGAGCUGUCGUGCCUAGUUUACAUCAGUUUUCUUGGGUGGUGCUUGACAUGAG